Marmota monax (woodchuck) is the source of this 518-nucleotide non-coding RNA. NCBI's taxonomy places the organism in Eukaryota, Metazoa, Chordata, Mammalia, Rodentia, Sciuridae. The record is from the annotation of a RefSeq genome assembly.
UAGAGAGAAAAGGAACAACUUGAUAACAGAAGUAGAUCCUGGGUAGGUUGCAAGUCUGGAUUGAUCUUAAUUGGGAAGAACAAUGAAGACAUCUCCCUUUGCUUUAUUCAUGUUCUUGUGGCUGCAGCUGGACUGGGUGAGCCAAGGAGAGAAGGUGGAGCAGCAUCCUUCUACUCUGAGUGUCCAGGAGGGAGACAGCGCUGUUAUCAACUGUACUUAUUCAGACAGUGCUUCGAACUACUUCCCUUGGUAUAAGCAAGAAACUGGAAAAGGUCCCCAGCACAUUAUAGACAUUCGUUCCAAUAAGGAGAUGAAUCAAGUCCAGAGAUUCAUUGUUGUGUUGGAUAAGAAAGCCAAACACUUCUCCCUGAACAUCACAGUCAUCCAACCUGGAGACUCAGCUGUCUACUUCUGUGUAGCCAGUACACAAUGCUUCCCAGACACCUGCAGCCUGUACUCAAACCUGCCACUGGGCUGAGCUGCUUCCUUUGCAUAGACUUCCCAGUAUAACAUUUGCU